Molecule: ribosomal RNA, 253 nt
Filed under: uncultured bacterium
Lineage: Bacteria
Description: partial 16S ribosomal RNA
Rfam family: Bacterial small subunit ribosomal RNA
Source: RNAcentral
UACGUAGGGCGCAAGCGUUGUCCGGAAUUAUUGGGCGUAAAGAGCUCGUAGGCGGCUUGUUGCGUCGUCCGUGAAAACCCGCAGCUCAACUGCGGGCUUGCGGACGAUACGGGCAGGCUGGAGUUCGGUAGGGGAGACUGGAAUUCCUGGUGUAGCGGUGAAAUGCGCAGAUAUCAGGAGGAGCACCGAUGGCGAAGGCAGGUCUCUGGGCUGUAACUGACGCUGAGGAGCGAAAGCAUGGGGAGCGAACAGG